UAAGACACUAGGACGCCCCUGAA
This 23-nucleotide unclassified non-coding RNA is filed under the name Mus musculus (house mouse). RNAcentral's name for it is "oocyte_clustered_small_RNA12847". The record is from RNAcentral. Lineage: Eukaryota; Metazoa; Chordata; Mammalia; Rodentia; Muridae.